GUCUUUAUUAUAGCCUAGAUAUAUAUUUAUUCUACUCAAUAAUAUAAAACAUUUAUAUAAUGAUA
RNAcentral lists this ribosomal RNA (65 nucleotides) under Aneides flavipunctatus (black salamander). Its description in RNAcentral is "partial large subunit ribosomal RNA". Lineage: Eukaryota; Metazoa; Chordata; Amphibia; Caudata; Plethodontidae. The record is from RNAcentral.